AACGCACAUUGCGCCCUUUGGUAUUCCGAAGGGCAUGCCUGUUCGAGCGUCAUUUCGUCCAUCAAGCUUUCUCUGCUUGGUCUUGGGUGAGGUAAAAUGGUUACCCACCUGCAACCCAUUCGCGGAAGUCGUCAAGUCCCGGCGUAGCAAGUCUCUCGCCUCGGACGAAAGCGUUUUCUUUCUCGUUUUCGAAAUUUUGACCUCGGAUCAGGUAGGAAUACCCGCUGAACUUAA
Molecule: unclassified non-coding RNA, 234 nt
Filed under: uncultured fungus
Lineage: Eukaryota; Fungi
Description: sequence contains ITS2
Rfam family: 5.8S ribosomal RNA (bases 1-52)
Source: RNAcentral